AGCUGGCGGCGUGCCUAAUACAUGCAAGUCGAGCGGACAGAAGGGAGCUUGCUCCCGGAUGUUAGCGGCGGACGGGUGAGUAACACGUGGGUAACCUGCCUGUAAGACUGGGAUAACUCCGGGAAACCGGAGCUAAUACCGGAUAGUUCCUUGAACCGCAUGGUUCAAGGAUGAAAGACGGUUUCGGCUGUCACUUACAGAUGGACCCGCGGCGCAUUAGCUAGUUGGUGGGGUAAUGGCUCACCAAGGCGACGAUGCGUAGCCGACCUGAGAGGGUGAUCGGCCACACUGGGACUGAGACACGGCCCAGACUCCUACGGGAGGCAGCAGUAGGGAAUCUUCCGCAAUGGACGAAAGUCUGACGGAGCAACGCCGCGUGAGUGAUGAAGGUUUUCGGAUCGUAAAGCUCUGUUGUUAGGGAAGAACAAGUGCGAGAGUAACUGCUCGCACCUUGACGGUACCUAACCAGAAAGCCACGGCUAACUACGUGCCAGCAGCCGCGGUAAUACGUAGGUGGCAAGCGUUGUCCGGAAUUAUUGGGCGUAAAGGGCUCGCAGGCGGUUUCUUAAGUCUGAUGUGAAAGCCCCCGGCUCAACCGGGGAGGGUCAUUGGAAACUGGGAAACUUGAGUGCAGAAGAGGAGAGUGGAAUUCCACGUGUAGCGGUGAAAUGCGUAGARGAUGUGGAGGAACACCAGUGGCGAAGGCGACUCUCUGGUCUGUAACUGACGCUGAGGAGCGAAAGCGUGGGGAGCGAACAGGAUUAGAUACCUGGUAGUCACGCCGUAAACGAUGAGUGCUAAGUGUUAGGGGGUUUCCGCCCCUUAGUGCUGCAGCUAACGCAUUAAGCACUCCGCCUGGGGAGUACGGUCGCAAGACUGAAACUCAAAGGAAUUGACGGGGGCCCGCACAAGCGGUGGAGCAUGUGGUUUAAUUCKAAGCAACGCGAAGAACCUUACCAGGUCUUGACAUCCUCUGACAACCCUAGAGAUAGGGCUUUCCCUUCGGGGACAGAGUGACAGGUGGUGCAUGGUUGUCGUCAGCUCGUGUCGUGAGAUGUUGGGUUAAGUCCCGCAACGAGCGCAACCCUUGAUCUUAGUUGCCAGCAUUYAGUUGGGCACUCUAAGGUGACUGCCGGUGACAAACCGGAGGAAGGUGGGGAUGACGUCAAAUCAUCAUGCCCCUUAUGACCUGGGCUACACACGUGCUACAAUGGACAGAACAAAGGGCUGCAAGACCGCAAGGUUUAGCCAAUCCCAUAAAUCUGUUCUCAGUUCGGAUCGCAGUCUGCAACUCGACUGCGUGAAGCUGGAAUCGCUAGUAAUCGCGGAUCAGCAUGCCGCGGUGAAUACGUUCCCGGGCCUUGUACACACCGCCCGUCACACCACGAGAGUUUGCAACACCCGAAGUCGGUGAGGUAACCUUUAUGGAGCCAGCCGCCGAAGGUGGGGCAGA
Molecule: ribosomal RNA, 1453 nt
Filed under: Bacillus sp. (in: firmicutes)
Lineage: Bacteria; Bacillati; Bacillota; Bacilli; Caryophanales; Bacillaceae
Description: bacterial SSU rRNA
Rfam family: Bacterial small subunit ribosomal RNA
Source: RNAcentral